This 745-nucleotide ribosomal RNA is filed under the name uncultured rumen archaeon. Its description in RNAcentral is "bacterial SSU rRNA". It matches the Rfam family "Archaeal small subunit ribosomal RNA", at positions 1 to 722 of the family's 1478-position model. The record is from RNAcentral.
GGCGGCCUCAUCCUCCUAGUGAGGUCAGGUUGAUCCUGGCGGAGGCUACUGCUAUUGGGGUUCGAUUAACCCAUGCAAGUUGAACGAUUCUUCGGAAUCGUGGCGAACGGCUCAGUAACACGUGGAUAACCUACCCUUAGGACCGGUAUAACCCUGGGAAACUGGGGACAAUCCCGGAUAGGUGAUUUUUUCUGUAAUGAUUUUUCAUUUAAAUGCUCCGGCGCCUGAGGAUGGGUCUGCGGCAGAUUAGGUAGUUGGUAGGGUAAUGGCCUACCAAGCCGGUGAUCUGUACGGGUUGUGAGAGCAAGAGCCCGGAGAUGGAACCUGAGACAAGGUUCCAGGCCCUACGGGGCGCAUCAGGCGCGAAACCUCCGCAAUGCGAGAAAUCGCGACGGGGGGACCCCAAGUGCCACUCUUAACGGGGUGGCUUUUCUUAAGUGUAAAAGCUUUUGGAAUAAGGGCUGGGCAAGACCGGUGCCAGCCGCCGCGGUAAACACGGCAGCUCUAGUGGUAGCCAUUUUUAUUGGGCCUAAAGCGUUUCGUGCCGGUUUGAUAAGUCUCUGGUGAAAUCCUGUAGCUUAACUGUGGGAAAUGCUGGAGAUACUUUUAGAAUUGGAGUCCGGAAGAAGUUAGCGGCCCUCCCAGGUUAGGGGUGAAAUCCUUGUAUCCUGGGAGGACCCCCUGUGGGCGAAGGCGGCUAACGGUAACGAACCUGGAGGUGAAGGGAUAUAAGCCCGGUGCCCGA